GCAAGUCGAGCGAACGGACGAGAAGCUUGCUUCUCUGAUGUUAGCGGCGGACGGGUGAGUAACACGUGGAUAACCUACCUAUAAGACUGGGAUAACUUCGGGAAACCGGAGCUAAUACCGGAUAAUAUUUUGAACCGCAUGGUUCAAAAGUGAAAGACGGUCUUGCUGUCACUUAUAGAUGGAUCCGCGCUGCAUUAGCUAGUUGGUAAGGUAACGGCUUACCAAGGCAACGAUGCAUAGCCGACCUGAGAGGGUGAUCGGCCACACUGGAACUGAGACACGGUCCAGACUCCUACGGGAGGCAGCAGUAGGGAAUCUUCCGCAAUGGGCGAAAGCCUGACGGAGCAACGCCGCGUGAGUGAUGAAGGUCUUCGGAUCGUAAAACUCUGUUAUUAGGGAAGAACAUAUGUGUAAGUAACUGUGCACAUCUUGACGGUACCUAAUCAGAAAGCCACGGCUAACUACGUGCCAGCAGCCGCGGUAAUACGUAGGUGGCAAGCGUUAUCCGGAAUUAUUGGGCGUAAAGCGCGCGUAGGCGGUUUUUUAAGUCUGAUGUGAAAGCCCACGGCUCAACCGUGGAGGGUCAUUGGAAACUGGAAAACUUGAGUGCAGAAGAGGAAAGUGGAAUUCCAUGUGUAGCGGUGAAAUGCGCAGAGAUAUGGAGGAACACCAGUGGCGAAGGCGACUUUCUGGUCUGUAACUGACGCUGAUGUGCGAAAGCGUGGGGAUCAAACAGGAUUAGAUACCCUGGUAGUCCACGCCGUAAACGAUGAGUGCUAAGUGUUAGGGGGUUUCCGCCCCUUAGUGCUGCAGCUAACGCAUUAAGCACUCCGCCUGGGGAGUACGACCGCAAGGUUGAAACUCAAAGGAAUUGACGGGGACCCGCACAAGCGGUGGAGCAUGUGGUUUAAUUCGAAGCAACGCGAAGAACCUUACCAAAUCUUGACAUCCUUUGACAACUCUAGAGAUAGAGCCUUCCCCUUCGGGGGACAAAGUGACAGGUGGUGCAUGGUUGUCGUCAGCUCGUGUCGUGAGAUGUUGGGUUAAGUCCCGCAACGAGCGCAACCCUUAAGCUUAGUUGCCAUCAUUAAGUUGGGCACUCUAAGUUGACUGCCGGUGACAAACCGGAGGAAGGUGGGGAUGACGUCAAAUCAUCAUGCCCCUUAUGAUUUGGGCUACACACGUGCUACAAUGGACAAUACAAAGGGCAGCGAAACCGCGAGGUCAAGCAAAUCCCAUAAAGUUGUUCUCAGUUCGGAUUGUAGUCUGCAACUCGACUACAUGAAGCUGGAAUCGCUAGUAAUCGUAGAUCAGCAUGCUACGGUGAAUACGUUCCCGGGUCUUGUACACACCGCCCGUCACACCACGAGAGUUUGUAACACCCGAAGCCGGUGGAGUAACCUUUUAGGAGCUAGCCGUCGAAGGUGGGACAAAUGAUUGGGGUGAAGUCGUAACAAGGUAGCCGUAUCGGAAGGUGCGGCUGGAUCACCU
Molecule: ribosomal RNA, 1491 nt
Filed under: Staphylococcus aureus
Lineage: Bacteria; Bacillati; Bacillota; Bacilli; Caryophanales; Staphylococcaceae
Also listed under: 1 other name
Description: 16S ribosomal RNA
Rfam family: Bacterial small subunit ribosomal RNA
Source: RNAcentral